GAAAACAAACAAAUAGUAGAGCUAACUUUUCUCUUUAAAAUCCCAAAUUCCCAAUGCAUAGUUCAAAAUCAAUUCUACUUCUCCUCAUCGUUGUUAAUGUCUCCCUUUUGAAAUUGAUUGAAUGUCUUUGAAUGGAUUGAGUUAGUGAUUACUAGAAAUAGGGUUUGGUUCAAGAUCUUCGGUCGAGAUAGACGACUGAUGUGUUUGGCGUUGUCCCUUAAUAUCUCCAUCACUGUGAAGUCAUUGAAACAAGCGAAAAUGGCAUUACCUGUUAAUGUGAGAAUGCACCAUAAGGGUUAUUUUAUUAGGGACCCAAAACUGAGAUAUGCAAAUGGGAAACUUGAGAUGUUUCUUGUAAAUAACAUUGACAGGCUCCAUUAUGGGAGGCUUCAAAAAAUGACAAAUUAUCUAUCCUACAAAGUUAGAGUAACUAUUUAUUGGGCAAAGCCUAGGUAUGAUUUGGAAAAAGGGUUGAGAGUGGUCAAUGAUGAUAGGGUUAUCGUUGACAUUUUAAGCCUUUAUGGUGAAAAUGAUUUUAUAGAUUUUUAUCUAGAACAUGGCAUUCAUGAACCUAAGGUACUCAGUGAUGGGGCUAAUCAAGCACCUUUUAUGGAAUGGUAUCAACCUAAAAACCUUGAAAAGGCACCUGUUGAUGAUAUUCAUAUUAGUGGAAAGGAAGAAGUACGAGACAGAAGAGCUGGAUAGAGCAAUGAGAAUAUUGGUGAUUAUGAUGUUACCCAUUCUCUUGACUUAGAUGAGGUUGAUAUUAAUGGUGGAUUUGUUAUUCAUGAAGAUUGUGAAGCAGACUCUAUAGACAUAGAAUUUCUAAGUGUUAAGGAGAAAAAAGGAGAAAAAUGCGUCAUAAAGUGCCAAAAAAUAAUGAUGAUAGUGGAAGUGAUUUCAAUUCAAUGAUGAGGUUGGGGAAGAAAGUGAAACAAAGGAAGAACAAACAGAAGUAAGUAAUGAUGAAACAACAGUUGCCAUGAAGAGGAAAGAGUAAAUGAGCCUAUUGGGAAUGACACUGACUAUUAGGACUCUCAUAAUGAGGGUAGUGCAAAAGCAAAGUAUAAUGAUGAUGGUGAGGUAUAAAUUCAAAGGAGAACCUCUAAGAGAGUGGUGUAUGAUCUAGAAUGUGAUCGCCCAUCCUUUGUUUUAGCAAUAGUUUUUGCAAAUAAUGCUGAAUUAAAGGAUGUAAUUAUAAAGUAUGCAGUCAACAAGGGAGUUAAAGUACACUUUUCAAAAAGUGAACCAACUAGGGUGAGAGUAGUGUGCAAGAAGGGGUGCCCCUAAACUAUAAUGGCUACUUACGAUACAAGGAGUGGGGACUUCAAGAUUAAAACAUAUAAUCCCUAAUAUAAAUGUUUCAGGGUCUACUAGAAUAAGAUUGUGAUGGUUAAAUUUUUAAUCAACUAUUACAAGACCAAAAUUCAAAACCAUCCAGGAAUGAUAUUUAAAGACCUUAAAAACAAGGUUAAAGUAGAUUUAAAGGUUGAUAUUGGUGUGAAUAUGUGCAAAAGGGUUAAGAGGGCAAUUAAAAGGGAGUUGGCUGACAAUUAUAGACUUGAAUAUGGCUAAUUGUGGGAUUAUGCAGAGGAAUUAAGGUUGUCUAACCCUGGCACAACUAUCCAACUGGCAUUUGAAUAGGAUACUAAUAGAUUUAGUUAGUUUUAUAUUUGUUUUGAUGCAUUUUAGAAAGGCUGGCUAGGUGGAUGCCAACUAAUUAUUGGUCUAGAUGGUUAUUUGUUAAGGAUAAUUUGCAAGGGGGAGUUGAUAUCAGAAAUAUGAUGGGAUGUAAAUAAUCACAUGUUUCCAAUUGCAUAGGCUGGGUGUAGUAUGAGGCAUGUAAUAAAUGGACAUGGUUCUUAAGGUUCCUGAAGACAGAUUUAAAUAUCACAGACAUAUCAUACCUUACCAUUAUCAGUGACAUGCAAAAGGUAACUGCCAAAGUUAUAUAUUUUUUUUUCCAUUUUUUUGUUUAUAAUAUGUUUUAGUGGUUUAAGUGGUUAAUUGGACACUUUAGCUAUGCUAACAUAUAUAUUAUACCUUAUUGAGUAGGUAUUGAUAUAAGUAGUUAAGGAUGAACUCCCUAAAUUUGAACAUAGGUGAUGGCAAUGCAUAUUUUUAGUAAAUGGCAAAAAAGAUGGAGGGGUCAAGACCUAAGAAAGCAAUUUUAGAGAUGUGCUAAGAGUUGUUAUCUUGAAGAUUUUUAUGAUUAGUUGGAAAAUAUGGACAAUAUAGCUUCUAGUAGUGUUGAAGCACUCCUAACAUACCCUCCACCCACAUGGUGUAGAGCAUCUUCUCUUUCAGUUGCAAGUCGAGAGUAGUUAACAACAACAUGUGCGAGGCUUUUAAUAGAAGCAUCCUGCAGGCAAGGUCUAAGCACAUAAUCAUUAUGCUUGAGGAAAUCAGGGUAUAUGUAAUGAAUAGGAUACACAAAAAAUAGAUGAAUGCAACAAAUGGUUCUCAUUCAUCAGUCUAGCUAUAACUAAAAGGCUAGAAGACAAUAUGGAGAGAGCUUUUAAUUUCCACUUAGAAUGGAAUGGAGAUAAAGGGUUUGAAGUGUUUGAGAGGAAGGAUAGGCAUGUAGUUGACAUUCAAAACAUUUGUGCACAUGUAGGUCCUGGGACCUUACUAGAAUUCCAUGUCCGCAUGGAAUUUGUUGCAUAUAUCAUAAUCGCCUAAGUCUUGCAUAUGUAAGUCACUGGUAUCGUAAAGAGACAAACCUCAAGAGUUAUGAGCAUGUGAUGCAAACACUGAAGGGGAGGAGCAUGUGGAUGAAAAUGAACAAGGCUCCAUUUAAGCCUCUAGAAGUGAAAAAAUCACCUAAAAAACCUAAGAAGUUGGGAAGGAAAGAUAAGGAUGAACCCAAAAAAGUUAGCAAACUUUCACGGAAAGGAGCGCAAAUGACAUGCAGCAGGUGUAAUCUUUCUAGCCAUAAUACCAGGUCCUACAAAGCACCUGCUACAGAGAGCACUACCACAAGUUGGAAAAGGAAGAGAAUCAAGGAGCAGUCAACAGGAGUUACCUCACAACCACAACCAAGUGAGGAAAAUACACAACAAGGCACAUGCCAUGAAGUUCCUACUGAAGCAAUGGGUACCACAGAGACAAUUGUAGGGAUUGAUGAAAAUCACGUUUACUCUCAAAUUAAAUUCACAAUCAAUUCUACUUGAUAUAAGAUUGCUUGCUAAGCUUAAAAGAGCAUUUAUGGGAGGAUAAUGCAUUAGAACCUCAAUUUUUAGAGUUUAAUUGUUAAUUUAAUUUUUUUGGCAUCUGAAGCUCUUUUUUUAUUUUUAUUUUUUAUUUUUAUAAUUCAGUCAUGCAUAAUUCUGCAUAAAUUUUGGAUUCUUUAGUUGUGCAAGAGUUUAAAAGGGCAUUUAAAUUGAGUUCUAUGCUAGCAAGUCACUACCAAAUGUGACAAUCUACUCAUCUACAUGAUUUCAAGUGGAUUGAACCAUAAGAUCCAACUUGCUUAAUAUUUCUGUUAUGAUCAUAGAUUACUUCAAUUUAGCGCACUAAGUUUUUGGU
RNA transcript from Hevea brasiliensis (rubber tree), 3528 nucleotides. RefSeq lists it as uncharacterized. The transcript has 4 exons. The record is from RefSeq and is a predicted model, not a curated record. NCBI's taxonomy places the organism in Eukaryota, Viridiplantae, Streptophyta, Magnoliopsida, Malpighiales, Euphorbiaceae.